UGGUUAGGCCUAAGGUCUGAGUAAUAGUACUAGUAGUAUUGGUAUUACUAAGACCCUACUACAGAGUACAACUAGUCGCGGUGGAUCUGAGAUUUAGAAAUUGGAUGAUAAUUUAUUAUGAAUUUAAGUGGCAUGGGGCUGGAGAGAGGAGUAAUGUACGUAGUUUACUUCGCCAGUCAAAUAUCAAUUCACGACAAGAAGUAGGAAGAAUGAAAGUGGAACAAUUUUUGUGGUUAUAAUCCCUGAAACUGCAGAAAAUGAAAUAAAACAGAUAAGUAACUUAUUCAUUGACGCUGUCGCCGAGGUCACCUCAACCAGGGACAUGACCUGGUGGUAGCGUGCGGAGCUGCGUAUCAGAAAAUCCAAGGGUUUGAUAUGCUACUGGUAAUGCUCUGCUUUUGCAACUGAAGGGGCAUCAUGGCCGUUGACAGUCAAUCCCACUGAUCGGGUGCUGCAGACAAGUUGCUCUCCUUCAAGUUAGCAGUUUUAAGGUUUAACGAGGCAAGAAUAAUAUUGAGCCCAUUCCGAGACAUUUUGGAAGACUGAAUCGGGUGUUUGAAGAGUAUGACGACCUUCCAACAGUAGGAAAUGCGGAUUCUUUUUUCACUAUAGGGCAACAGUGGCCCAGACGAUACUUGAUUAACAAGGCAAAGAAUGAAGGGCUGUACAAGAAGAGAACCUUCGACGAAAUUGAUAGAGCUGCUUUUGGAGGUCUUAAGAAACGACCCUUCCACAAAAUUGACAUGGCUGCAUUUAAUGGUUUCCAAAAGCGCGAAUAAUAGAUUGUGCUUGUACUAAAUGUUGUCUGAUGUAAAAACACCUGUUUUGUUCACUUAAACAGCAGGUCAUAAAUAUUGCAGAUCACGACACGAUGAAGUUUAAAUAAUCACACAAAAAGAUAAUGUAUUGAUUAUUAUAUUACAUAAUUUUAUAAUAUAUUUUCAUUAUAUGUGCAUACUUCUUUUUGUUUGAUGAAAACAUAACAGUACUUAACGAAUGUGUUUAUUUGUGAUUAAAUCAAAGAACUAAAAUUUUAAUUCGUAAAACAUUUAUACUAUUCCCAACCUCACUUGGGAUUUUAUUUUAGUGUAAAAUAAUUUCAGAUUGAAGCCUAUUCACGCACAUUCUGAAUAUUUAUAUGUGGCAACUGAAGCUUUGAAUUGAUACUCUUUAUAUUCUAUACAUCUGUGUUGGAUUAAUGUUUGCACAACCUGGGAAAAUUUACUGUCAUAUAUUUCCAUGUAAGGACAUGGAUUAGCUACACCAUUCAGAGAAACUAAAUGUAAUAAAAUCAGUCUCUUAACAGGCAAGUUAGAAUUUCGAAUUUAUCGUUUAAAAGUAAUUAAGUUUGUUUGUUUUUCUUAUACCGUAAUGGUAACAAUUUUCAUUUUUCUUACCUGUUUAAACGGAUUCUCUUCAUUUUCCCUUUAAAAUAUUUUUUGAAUCUUGUUAUCGUAUAUGUAUUGUAAAGAAAAUUGUUCUUGUAAACCCAUCAUGUCAUGUAUGAAAUAAUACCAAUUCUUCUAAAUAUUCAAUAUUAAAACCCUUAGCUAAUCGUCAUUAAAUAUUGUUGG
Limulus polyphemus (Atlantic horseshoe crab) is the source of this 1574-nucleotide RNA transcript. It is a transcript of the gene named orcokinin peptides type A-like, with no coding region annotated. The record is from RefSeq and is a predicted model, not a curated record. NCBI's taxonomy places the organism in Eukaryota, Metazoa, Arthropoda, Merostomata, Xiphosura, Limulidae. The transcript is spliced from 5 exons.